AAUGAGAGAGCGGCGUACGGGUGCGUAACACGUGUGCAACCUGCCUUUAUCUGGGGGAUAGCCUUUCGAAAGGAAGAUUAAUACUCCAUAAUAUAUUGAACGGCAUCGUUUAAUAUUGAAAGCUCCGGCGGAUAGAGAUGGGCACGCGCAAGAUUAGCUAGUUGGUGAGGUAACGGCUCACCAAGGCGAUGAUCUUUAGGGGGCCUGAGAGGGUGAUCCCCCACACUGGUACUGAGACACGGACCAG
This 247-nucleotide ribosomal RNA is filed under the name uncultured bacterium. RNAcentral's name for it is "partial 16S ribosomal RNA". It matches the Rfam family "Bacterial small subunit ribosomal RNA", at positions 86 to 334 of the family's 1533-position model. The record is from RNAcentral.